Podarcis lilfordi (Lilford's wall lizard) is the source of this 2344-nucleotide non-coding RNA. Lineage: Eukaryota; Metazoa; Chordata; Lepidosauria; Squamata; Lacertidae. The record is from the annotation of a GenBank genome assembly.
CACAUGCUAGUGGUCUAAUGCCUGCUAGAGUCCCUAGUACAGUGUAAAAGUUGGAAACCCUGGUUUCAAACUGAUUUAUGAUGCCAAAUCAAGGAAUUAAGCAUGAUUGUUGUUUAACUUCUCCCUUUUUCCAUGCUACUUUAAGGAGGUACCAUAAUGCUGCAUGGCACUACAGUUUUUCACAACUUCCCAGACCAUAAGCUCAUAAAACUAAAUUCUAUCCUCCAAUUUAAAAAAAAAAAUCAUCUUAUAACAUUUUAGUAUGGAAAAUAAUUAGAUGUGGGGUCGUAUUAGUAGUAGGAUAAAGUAAAGCUGCCUGUCUCUGGUCCAUUCUUGCAAUUUGAGACAGUGACCAAAUUUCCUAUUAACCUUAUUGCUCUUUCCAGUGAGCAAGUCUUAACCCCCCCUUUUCAUCGAUCAGCAUUAAUUAGAAGUUGCAUUAUUAAAGGUUCAGAAGAAGUCAAACAUACUUAUGGAGACAAUAUUCCUUCAGUAAAAGGAGAGAAAUGCAGUCACAUUUUCUUUCCCUUAGCAGUUCUGGGAAUACAGUGACAAAACCAAAACAUCUUACUUGGUAAAUUAUUAAUGUUCAAUACUUUUUAUGUCAGCUGUAGAAGUUAAUUUGUAUGUAACUGAGAAAUUAGCAUAUUGCUGACCCAGAGUAUUAAAGCCUUAUUAUCAGGAUGUUUUCUUUGAUGGUACUUUUUGUUCGCAUUUCCGUUUUCUAGAAAAAGCUAAAAGGUUGCUGCAAGGUCAGUAACACACUAUUAUUGACCAUGUUAAAACCAUAGAUAAAGUAAAGAUAAAACCUCUGUGGUCACACCUAUGUCCUUAGCUAUAAAGUAGACCACCAGUCAGUACAAAUAAAACUCUCUGCAAAAGAGCCUACCUCACAGGGUUGUUUUCAGGAUGAAAUGGAGAAGGGAAGAACCAUGUGUGCCAUCUUGAGUUCCUUGAAGGAAAUGGGGGGUAUAAAUGCAAUAAUUGUAAUUAUAAUAAUGAUAAAUAUUGAAGAAAUCAGUUUAAGUUCAAUUGAAUCAAAUUGAACCUCCUCCCAUACCACCCUUAUGUUUUAUCCAGUUCUUUCGGGUUGGAAAAGACCACCACCUGCCUAUAAAUGGGAUAAGGCUUUUACUUGGCAAUAGUCCUACUUAUCUUCUGGAACAGAAUGAUUAGUCCCAGAGCUCCCUGUUGCCUACAGUGCUUGUGACCAGUAAUUGGUACUAUUUUUCUGUCAGGCUAUAAUAUUCACAUUUUGCAGUUACAUUACAGGCUAUAAUAUUCACAUUUUGAAGUUUUGUACUAUAUUGUUGCUUUUAUUUUUAAGUUACCUUUAUCUUUUUCCCCACUUGUAGAUUAGUAAUAUAACAGUAUAUAAUUUAAAUACUAAUGGAGUUAUUAAGACAGUACUAAAUUACUAGGGCUGUAUUGUAAGUAAUAACGUAUGUGCCCUUGUGAGCCAUAUCAACAAACAAUGCCUAAUAUGAGGUUAGCUACAAAUUCUUAGAAGCACAUGCCUGUGUGCUUUAUUCUCCCAGAAAUCAAUGGAAUUUAAGUGUAGGUUGUGAUCUGAAGAAAUCUGAUUAGGAUUUUGUGAGUACUACACAUGUGAGCAAAAAGAAUCUUGUGUUUUUCCAGAGUUCUGUCUGCUGUAUGUGUAAGAAUGGGCUUCUGGAUAGUGAAUUAAAAGGGCACAACCUGAAUCUGAAACUAGUAUACUUAGGUCCAGUGCAGAUUAAACACUUGCAGUGUAAUAGGUGUACCGCCCAUUAUUUGAGAGCAAAUUCAAUUGAAAUUACCUUCAAUGUGGGUAUGUUUUGUUUUGGGCAAUAUGGAGAAAGUGGGGAAUAGGAAGAACAUGGCUCUCUUUUUGUACCCUAUUACAUAGUGUCCCAAACUACUAUAAGAUUUAGGGUGUUAGAUUCAACAAUGGAAGAAACUCAGUGAUCAAGAGCCCCACACACUCAUGAACUGCAUAUGUUUAGGAUCAAUGCUUGCCUGUUUUGCUUAGAUAGAGAAUAACUUGAAGAUACACAGUUCUUUCAGAACACUGCUUUAGAAUAACUUGACAACAAUAUAGGUAGGGAAGAGUAAUUAGAACCACUAUUGUAUGGUCUAGACACCAGGAUUAACAGAUUUGAUGUGAAGGAAAAUGUCAUAAGAUAUUAAUCAAGAGGAAAAUAUUAGUUUGAUAUUAACUCGGUGGAUUCAACUACUCUUCAUUCUCUUCAUGCUACAGUACUGAGAUUACUGGCCAAUUCCUUGUUAAAGUCUGGCUGUUAGCAAUCACCUCUCUCUGCACCUCUAUUUUCCUGUGAGAUCUCCUGUCUGUGUACUGAUGAGG